RNAcentral lists this transfer RNA (65 nucleotides) under Balanus balanus. RNAcentral's name for it is "tRNA-Lys". It matches the Rfam family "tRNA". Rfam says of the family: Transfer RNA (tRNA) molecules are approximately 80 nucleotides in length. Their secondary structure includes four short double-helical elements and three loops (D, anti-codon, and T loops). The record is from RNAcentral. Lineage: Eukaryota; Metazoa; Arthropoda; Thecostraca; Balanomorpha; Balanidae.
CAUAUAGUAGCUUAAGCUUAAAGCAUUAAACUUUUAAUUUAAAUAUAAGAAUUUCUUUUAUAUGG